RNAcentral lists this ribosomal RNA (407 nucleotides) under uncultured bacterium. RNAcentral describes it as "partial 16S ribosomal RNA". It matches the Rfam family "Bacterial small subunit ribosomal RNA", at positions 28 to 526 of the family's 1533-position model. The record is from RNAcentral.
GACGAACGCUGGCGGCGUGCCUAAUACAUGCAAGUAGGACGCAGUUGCGAACGGGUGAGUAACGCGUAGGUAACUACCUAUUAAAGGGGGAUAACUGUUGGAAACGAUAGCUACUACCGCAUACUAGUAGAUGGACCUGCGUUGUAUUAGCUAGUGGGUAGGGUAAAGGCCUACCUAGGCAACGAUACAUAGCCGACCUGAGACGGGGAGCGGCCACACUGGGACUGAGACACGGCCCAGACGCCUACGGGAGGCAGCAGUAGAGAAUCGUCGGCAAUGGGGGGAACCCUGACCGAGCAACGCCGCGUGAGUGAAGAAGGUUUUCGGAUCGUAAAGCUCUGUUGUUAAGGAAGCGGUACUUAACCAGAAAGGGACGGCUAACUACGUGCCAGCAGCCGCGGUAAUUC